RNAcentral lists this long non-coding RNA (270 nucleotides) under Elaeis guineensis (African oil palm). Its description in RNAcentral is "long non-coding RNA (EGUI_LNC064786)". Lineage: Eukaryota; Viridiplantae; Streptophyta; Magnoliopsida; Arecales; Arecaceae. The record is from RNAcentral.
GUGCACAUGAACCCAUAUUUUGGUUCAUACCCAGGCAUGGCAUUAAGAUAUGUAUGGGGUGUUCUGGAUAUGAUGGAGUGUGUAUGGAGGUUGUGAGUAAAUCAACAUGAAAUCGAUCACUCCUAGUAAUAGGAGAUCACAUCUUGUGUAUUCUCAAUCCUAGAUGACUCGGAUAAAGUAUUUUGGUCAAAAGUAGGAAGAAGAUUAGAAAGAGUUUCUAAUACUUCUUUAUUGGAGUCAUCAUUGGUUAAUUGAGAAUUGAUAUGAAUA